CCGCAGCACUCACGCGCCAUUGACCGCGGAGGUGGGAGGCGGUGCACGGAGUCGCGGCUUUGCGAAGCGACAGUUCCGGGCUCCAGAAGGUUCCGCUGCUCGAGCCGCCGCGAUGAUGGGCCCGCGCCCCGUCCUGGUUCUCAGUCAGAAUACAAAACGGGAGUCUGGAAGAAAAGUCCAGACGGGAAACAUCACUGCUGCAAAGACUAUUGCUGACAUUAUCCGAACAUGUUUAGGACCAAGAGCAAUGAUGAAGAUGCUUUUGGACCCCAUGGGUGGGAUUGUGAUGACCAACGAUGGCAAUGCUAUUCUUAGAGAGAUUCAAGUCCAGCAUCCAGCCGCAAAAUCAAUGAUAGAGAUCAGCCGCACUCAGGAUGAAGAAGUUGGAGAUGGGACCACAUCUGUCAUUAUCCUUGCUGGAGAGAUGCUCUCUGUUGCCGAACACUUUCUUGAACAGCAGAUGCACCCAACUGUGAUCAUCUGGGCUUAUCGUAAGGCUCUUGAUGACAUGAUCAGUAUUCUAAAGAAAAUUGGCACUCCAGUGGACGUGAACAAUAAAGAGAUGAUGCUUAAAAUAAUUAAGAGUGCGAUAAACACCAAGGCAAUAAACCGCUGGUCUGACUUGGCUUGUAGCAUUGCCCUUGAUGCUGUUAAGACUGUGGAGUUUGAAGAAAAUGGCAGAAAGGAAAUUGAUAUUAAAAAAUAUGCAAAAGUAGAGAAGAUUCCAGGUGGUUUUAGCGAAGACUCAUGCGUUUUGCGUGGAAUCAUGGUGAAUAAAGAUGUAACCCAUCCCAGAAUGCGUCGCCUUAUUAAGAAUCCACGCAUUGUCCUUCUGGAUUGUUCAUUGGAGUACAAGAAAGGAGAGAGCCAGACUGACAUUGAAAUUACUCGGGAGGAAGACUUUGCCCGUAUCCUGCAGAUGGAGGAAGAGUACAUUCAGCAGAUGUGUGAGGAUCUGAUAAGAGUCAAACCAGAUCUAGUCAUCACGGAAAAAGGAGUUUCUGACCUGGCCCAGCACUACCUGAUGAGAGCCAACAUCACCGCCAUCCGCAGGGUGCGGAAGACUGACAACAACCGGAUUGCCAGGGCCUGUGGAGCUCGCAUUGUCAGUCGCACAGAUGAGCUCCGGGAGGAGGAUGUGGGAACUGGUGCUAGGCUCUUUGAAGUGAAAAAAAUAGGAGAUGAGUAUUUUGCUUUCAUCACUGAUUGCAAAGAUCCUAAGGCUUGCACCAUCAUCCUGCGGGGAGCCAGCAAGGAAAUCCUAGCGGAGGUGGAGCGCAACCUGCAGGAUGCCAUGCAGGUGUGCCGCAAUGUCCUCAUGGACCCACAGCUGGUGCCAGGUGGGGGAGCCACUGAAAUGGCCGUUUCCCAUGCCCUGACGGAGAGGUCCAAGGGCAUGACAGGUGUGGAGCAGUGGCCCUACCGUGCAGUGGCCCAGGCUCUGGAAGUCAUUCCCCGGACACUGAUCCAGAACUGUGGCGCCAGUACAAUCCGUGUUCUGACUUCACUCAGGGCCAAGCACACUCAGGAAGGCAGCCAGACAUGGGGGGUGAAUGGGGAGUCUGGAGCCCUGGUUGACAUGAAGGAGCUGGGGAUCUGGGAGCCCUUGGCUGUCAAACUUCAGACCUACAAAACAGCCGUGGAGGGCCAAAUAUGAGUGGCAAAUCAACGUUGGCAUGGAUCUGCUGGAGGAGAGGAGUUUGUGGUGGGCUCCCAGUGACAUCUGAUGGAGUGACGGUGAGAGCAUCUCAUGGGGUCUGGGGGAGCACCUGGAUGCACUUGGAUGUGGAGCAUUGCUCAGAGGAGGUGGUGAGGGACAAAGCUUUUUGCCAGGAAGCAGCAGCUGAACAGUUAUUUUAGCUGACCAAGAGAUGACAUCCUGGUGAUGGCAGGAACUUCCCGGAUGGCAAGGUGGCCUUCCUUGGCUCCCCAUGUGGAUCCUCCCAGCUGGGCAUCCAAGAGCUAAGUCGAUGGCUACAACCUGCAGAGGGGAUGAGAGCGGGGUGCUGGGUCGGGACUCAUGACCCGGGAUUUUUGAGUCAGCUUUGGGGAGGGGGAGGUCCAGGCUGUGGCCCCUUAGGCCUCAUGAAGGGAGAGCGUCACUUUUGCUCACAGUGCUGAGAUGUGCAGGACAGAGCAGUCCCGAGGCGUGUCAUGCCACUUGUCCAUCGUGCCUUCUCUGUCUUUUGUGCCUCUUGUGUUGUACGUGCCUUGCCUUAUCUCUUCUGGGGGCUUACCAGAAACCCUGGCAUCACUCCUCACAUCUCUGAUUUCUGGCUUCCUUGGCCUGAUGCCGUCGAAGCUUUGGCUUGGGAACUCUCAGAGGCCUUGGAAUCGCGUCUCUCUUGAAAAGCAUCCUACCGGAUGUCUUUUAGAGGUCUUGUUCCGUGCUGUAUCAACAGCUGUGCACCGCAAGGAUCCAUUGUUGCGGCUCAGGACUUGUACGAAAGAUAGGUAGAGGAUUGUGGCGGUCAGAUUGUCGGGCAUCCGUCUUGGUGGUUCUUGGAGUAAGUUGUUCCAUCAGCAUCUUCUUCCUCCUGGGUUCUGCGAGCCUCGUCAGCUCGCCAUCCUUCUCACCCAGGUCAUCUCGUUCUGCAUUCUCUCAGUCCUUGCGGCCGUUCUUGUGGCUCAGAGUUUUGUCUCCCCGUUGUGUCCCCUCAUCUGUUGUCUUGUGUGUCACGGGUGUCUGGGUGUAGUUGGCCCAGAGCUGCUCUGCCCUGCUGUUCAGCCUGGGUGUAGGUGGAAAAGGUCAAGUCCCAGUCCCCUGUAAUUUGAAAUUUGUAAUGUAUGGUGUAGUUGGAGUCUAGAGGGUAUUCCUAGAUCGACACAAGAUGUCUGGAGCUGUGAAGUUACCCUGCCGCACUGUGACUUUUGUCUUAGCUUUCUUUCAGAUGCGUAUGGAUUAAAUAAGUGGCGGAGACCCCCACUGCAGACUGCAGGGCUUGGGAGGAACUUCAACCCUUUUUUGGGGGCUACCUCCUUUCAUUGUUGCAGCGGAUUCAUUUUUUGCAGUGAUGUAUAUGUGGAAAGAGCUCUAAUAAAGUGGUGUUAUUCUGUCUGUGGCA
This is an RNA transcript of Parus major (Great Tit), 3065 nucleotides long. It is a transcript of the gene named chaperonin containing TCP1 subunit 3, with no coding region annotated. The transcript is spliced from 15 exons. Lineage: Eukaryota; Metazoa; Chordata; Aves; Passeriformes; Paridae. The record is from RefSeq and is a predicted model, not a curated record.